This 342-nucleotide ribosomal RNA is filed under the name Triticum aestivum (bread wheat). RNAcentral describes it as "partial small subunit ribosomal RNA". The record is from RNAcentral. Lineage: Eukaryota; Viridiplantae; Streptophyta; Magnoliopsida; Poales; Poaceae.
AUGUCUACCAAUCUUCUUUAUGUGCUGCUUGGAUAUUCCAGAGACCAUCAAAAAACAAUUUGCAAAUCCUUAGGCAUUGUCUCUGGAGAGGAUCAGUCAUGGAAGAUCAUGGACCACCAAUGGUUGCAUGGAGUGUGGUUUUGCAGACCAAAAAAUCAAGGAGGCUUGGGUAUUUGUAAUUUAGAUGUGCAAAACAAUGCUCUUCUUCUAAACAACUUGCACAAAUUCUUCAAUAGGCACAACAUCCCAUGGGUUAACCUGAUUUGGGAAAUAUACUACAACAAUGGCAUGCUACCAGGUCAGAAUAUGGUUGGUUCAUUUUGGUGGAAAGAAAAUUCGUAA